CGAACGCUGGCGGCGUGCCUAAUACAUGCAAGUAGAACGCUGAAGGAGGAGCUUGCUUCUCCGGAUGAGUUGCGAACGGGUGAGUAACGCGUAGGUAACCUGCCUGGUAGCGGGGGAUAACUAUUGGAAACGAUAGCUAAUACCGCAUAAGAGUAGAUGUUGCAUGACAUUUGCUUAAAAGGUGCAAUUGCAUCACUACCAGAUGGACCUGCGUUGUAUUAGCUAGUUGGUGGGGUAACGGCUCACCAAGGCGACGAUACAUAGCCGACCUGAGAGGGUGAUCGGCCACACUGGGACUGAGACACGGCCCAGACUCCUACGGGAGGCAGCAGUAGGGAAUCUUCGGCAAUGGACGGAAGUCUGACCGAGCAACGCCGCGUGAGUGAAGAAGGUUUUCGGAUCGUAAAGCUCUGUUGUAAGAGAAGAACGAGUGUGAGAGUGGAAAGUUCACACUGUGACGGUAUCUUACCAGAAAGGGACGGCUAACUACGUGCCAGCAGCCGCGGUAAUACGUAGGUCCCGAGCGUUGUCCGGAUUUAUUGGGCGUAAAGCGAGCGCAGGCGGUUAGAUAAGUCUGAAGUUAAAGGCUGUGGCUUAACCAUAGUACGCUUUGGAAACUGUUUAACUUGAGUGCAAGAGGGGAGAGUGGAAUUCCAUGUGUAGCGGUGAAAUGCGUAGAUAUAUGGAGGAACACCGGUGGCGGAAAGCGGCUCUCUGGCU
This 720-nucleotide ribosomal RNA is filed under the name uncultured Bacilli bacterium. RNAcentral's name for it is "bacterial SSU rRNA". It matches the Rfam family "Bacterial small subunit ribosomal RNA", at positions 30 to 734 of the family's 1533-position model. Lineage: Bacteria; Bacillati; Bacillota; Bacilli. The record is from RNAcentral.